This 189-nucleotide ribosomal RNA is filed under the name Triticum aestivum (bread wheat). Its description in RNAcentral is "partial small subunit ribosomal RNA". The record is from RNAcentral. Lineage: Eukaryota; Viridiplantae; Streptophyta; Magnoliopsida; Poales; Poaceae.
CAAGGUUUAGAGGUGGAUGUUUCCAGUCAGAGAAAAGGAAACUGUGGAAGAAAGCCAAAGGACACUGACCUAGAGAAAAUCCCGACCAUCCCACUAAACAAGAGGUCUACUAUCAGAUCACUAGCUUGGCAGCUAGGAUGUAGCCCUGCCACACUCCAUAGAAAGUUUCAUGCUGAAGUUGAUAAGUAG